This 90-nucleotide transfer RNA is filed under the name bacterium. RNAcentral describes it as "tRNA-Ser". It matches the Rfam family "tRNA". From Rfam's summary of the family: Transfer RNA (tRNA) molecules are approximately 80 nucleotides in length. Their secondary structure includes four short double-helical elements and three loops (D, anti-codon, and T loops). The record is from RNAcentral. RNAcentral also lists the same sequence under 1 other name.
GGAGAGGUGGCAGAGCGGCUGAAUGCGCGACAUUGCUAAUGUCGUGACCUCGUAAGGGGUCCGCGGGUUCGAAUCCCGCCCUCUCCGCCA